AUGCAGGGAUGGGAAUCGAACACACAGUGUUCCGCUUACCGGGCAGAUGCCAUGUCCACUAGGCUACCCUGGA
This 73-nucleotide transfer RNA is filed under the name Cordylochernes scorpioides. Its description in RNAcentral is "tRNA-Thr". Lineage: Eukaryota; Metazoa; Arthropoda; Arachnida; Pseudoscorpiones; Chernetidae. The record is from RNAcentral.